AGUGAACGCUGGCGGUAGGCCUAACACAUGCAAGUCGAACGGCAGCACAGUAAGAGCUUGCUCUUACGGGUGGCGAGUGGCGGACGGGUGAGGAAUACAUCGUAAUCUACUUUUUCGUGGGGGAUAACGUAGGGAAACUUACGCUAAUACCGCAUACGACCUACGGGUGAAAGCAGGGGAUCUUCGGACCUUGCGCGAUUGAAUGAGCCGAUGUGGGAUUAGCUAGUUGGCGGGGUAAAGGCCCACCAAGGCGACGAUCCGUAGCUGGUCUGAGAGGAUGAUCAGCCACACUGGAACUGAGACACGGUCCAGACUCCUACGGGAGGCAGCAGUGGGGAAUAUUGGACAAUGGGCGCAAGCCUGAUCCAGCCAUACCGCGUGGGUGGAGAAGGCCUUCGGGUUGUAAAGCCCUUUUGUUGGGAAAGAAAAGCAGCAGGUUAAUACCCCGCUGUUCUGACGGUACCCAAAGAAUAAGCACCGGCUAACUUCGUG
Molecule: ribosomal RNA, 492 nt
Filed under: uncultured bacterium
Lineage: Bacteria
Description: partial 16S ribosomal RNA
Rfam family: Bacterial small subunit ribosomal RNA
Source: RNAcentral